GACGAACGCUGGCGGCGUGCUUAACACAUGCAAGUCGAACGGAAAGGCGCUGCCUUUGUGGGGUGCUCGAGUGGCGAACGGGUGAGUAAGACGUGAGUAACCUGCUCUUGACUUUGGGGUAACUUCAGGAGACUGCGGCUAAUACCGCAGAGGAGCUUCUGAUGCAUGGUGGGGGUUGGAAAGUUUCGGCGGUUGGGGCUGGACGCGCGGCUGAUCAGCUUGUUGGGGGGGGAGUGGCUUACCAAGGCUUUGACGGGUAGCCGGCCUGGGAGGGUGACCGGCCACAUUGGGACUGAGAUACGGCCCAGACUGCUACGGGGGGCAACAGUGGGGAAUAUUGCACAGUGGGCGGAAGCGUGAUGCAGCAACGCCGCGGGCGGGAUGACGGCCUUCGGGUUGUAAACCGCGUUCGCCUGUGACGAAGCGUGAGUGACGGUAAUGGGUAAAGAAGCACCGGCUAACUACGUG
RNAcentral lists this ribosomal RNA (468 nucleotides) under uncultured bacterium. Its description in RNAcentral is "partial 16S ribosomal RNA". It matches the Rfam family "Bacterial small subunit ribosomal RNA", at positions 28 to 507 of the family's 1533-position model. The record is from RNAcentral.